GUUGUCCCGGUUUAAGCGUGUAGGCUGGUUUUCCAGGCAAAUCCGGAAAAUCAAGGCUGAGGCGUGACGACGAGGCACUACGGUGCUGAAGCAACAAAUGCCCUGCUUCCAGGAAAAGCCUCUAAGCCUCAGGUAACAUCAGAUCGUACCCGAAACCGACACAGGUGGUCAGGUAGAGAAUACCAAGGCGCUUGAGAGAACCCGGGUGAAGGAACUAGGCAAAAUGGUGCCGUAACUUCGGGAGAAGGCACGCUGACACGUAGGUGAAGCGGUUUACCCGUGAAGCUGAAGUCAGUCGAAGAU
Molecule: ribosomal RNA, 303 nt
Filed under: Salmonella enterica subsp. arizonae serovar 18:z4,z23:-
Lineage: Bacteria; Pseudomonadati; Pseudomonadota; Gammaproteobacteria; Enterobacterales; Enterobacteriaceae
Also listed under: 2 other names
Description: bacterial LSU rRNA
Rfam family: Bacterial large subunit ribosomal RNA
Source: RNAcentral